RNAcentral lists this ribosomal RNA (429 nucleotides) under Gemmatimonadota bacterium. RNAcentral's name for it is "Gemmatimonadetes bacterium partial 16S ribosomal RNA". It matches the Rfam family "Bacterial small subunit ribosomal RNA", at positions 355 to 776 of the family's 1533-position model. The record is from RNAcentral. Lineage: Bacteria; Pseudomonadati; Gemmatimonadota.
UAGGGAAUCUUCGGCAAUGGACGAAAGUCUGACCGAGCAACGCCGCGUGAGUGAAGAAGGUUUUCGGAUCGUAAAACUCUGUUGUUAGAGAAGAACAAGGACGUUAGUAACUGAACGUCCCCUGACGGUAUCUAACCAGAAAGCCACGGCUAACUACGUGCCAGCAGCCGCGGUAAUACGUAGGUGGCAAGCGUUGUCCGGAUUUAUUGGGCGUAAAGCGAGCGCAGGCGGUUUCUUAAGUCUGAUGUGAAAGCCCCCGGCUCAACCGGGGAGGGUCAUUGGAAACUGGGAGACUUUAGUGCAGAAGAGGAGAGUGGAAUUCCAUGUGUAGCGAUGAAAUGCGUAGAUAUAUGGAGGAACACCAGUGGCGAAGGCGGCUCUCUAGUCUGUAACUGACGCUGAGGCUAGAAGGCGUGGGGAGCAAACAGG